Molecule: ribosomal RNA, 1348 nt
Filed under: metagenome
Description: SSU rRNA
Rfam family: Eukaryotic small subunit ribosomal RNA
Source: RNAcentral
UAUGAGAAACGGCUACCACAUCUAAGGAAGGCAGCAGGCGCGUAAAUUACCCAAUCCUGACUCAGGGAGGUAGUGACAAGAAAUAGCAAACCGGGAACCUCAUGGUUUCACGGUAUUGCAAUGAGAACAAUUUAAAACCCUUAGCGAGAAUCAAGUGGAGGACAAGUCUGGUGCCAGCACCCGCGGUAAUUCCAGCUCCACUAGCGUAUAUUAAAGUUGUUGCAGUUAAAAAGCUCGUAGUUGAACCUCUGUCUGGGGCUAGUUUUGGCUUUGGUCAGGCUAGUUCUAGGCAUCCGCCUACAAGACUUAGAGGGCAUUCAGUUGUUCACUAGGAGGAGUAGGCAUUUUACUUUGAAAAAAUUAGAGUGUUUAAGGCAGGCAAUCGCCCGCAUAUAUUAGCAUGGAAUAAUAGAAUAGGACACUUUUCCAUUUCGUUGGUUAUUGGAAUCGUGUAAUGAUUAAUAGGGACAGUUGUGGGCAUUUGUAUCUAAUUGUCAGAGGUGAAAUUCUUGGAUUUAUUAAAGACAAACUAACGCGAAAGCAUUUGCCAAGGAUGUUUUCAUUAAUCAAGAACGAAAGUUAGGGGAUCAAAGACGAUCAGAUACCGUCCUAGUCUUAACUAUAAACUAUUCCGACUCAAUGUUUGACUGGCUUAUAUAACCAGUUGAGCGUUGUAUGAGAAAUCAAAGUCUUUAGGUUCUGGGGGGAGUAUGGUUGCAAAGCUGAAACUUAAAGGAAUUGACGGAAGAGCACAACCAGGAGUGGAUUCUGCGGCUUAAUUUGACUCAACACGGGGAAACUUACCAGGUUAAAACAAUAGUGGGAUUGACAGUUUGAGAGCGCUUUCUUGAUUGGUUGGGUGGUGGUGCAUGGCCGUUCUUAGUUGGUGGAGUGAUUUGUCUGCUUAAUUGCGUUAACGACGAGACCUUAACCUGCUUACUAGACUGGCGAUCAUCAAUCGUUAGCUCUUCUUAGAGGGACUUUGGUUGUUUUAACUCCAAGGAAGUUUGAGGCAAUAACAGGUCUGUGAUGCCCUUAGAUAUCCUGGGCCGCACGCGUCAUACAAUGACUAGUUCAGAAAGUUUUCUCCUGACCCGAAAGGGGAUGGGUAAUCUUGAUAAUACUAGUCGUGUUAGGGAUCGAUCUUUGCAAUUAUAGAUCUUGAACGAGGAAUUCCUAGUAAGUGCGGUUCAUCAGACCGUACUGAUUACGUCCCUGCUCUUUGUACACACCGCCCGUCGCUUCUACCGAGUGGGUGGUCCGGUGAGAUAAUUGAACUUCGCAGGUAACUGAGAGGAAAGAUUAUCAAACCUAUCCACCUCGAGGAAGAAGAAGUCGUAACAAGGUU